ACAUGUGUCCUAACUUAUUCGACACUGUCAAUUUAGUGUCCAAACUUGAAAAAUAUAUAAAAAUGGUGUUGUAAUUUGUCUGAACGAUUCAAAUACGAAGUAUGCUGCCAUAUCCAGUGCUUGUGUGGCAUGCUAGCAUAUUGCCGGGCGACAUGUCACUAUCACAAUUGUUUCUUUUCUCGGUUAUCUCAAAUGAUUCCAUU
Molecule: long non-coding RNA, 203 nt
Filed under: Hordeum vulgare
Lineage: Eukaryota; Viridiplantae; Streptophyta; Magnoliopsida; Poales; Poaceae
Description: long non-coding RNA (HVUL_LNC001907)
Source: RNAcentral